GAGGAAGGUGGGGAUGACGUCAAGUCCUCAUGGCCCUUACGCGUAGGGCUACACACGUGCUACAAUGGAGAGUACAGAGGGUUGCGAACCAGUGAUGGUAAGCCAAUCUCAAAAAGCUCUUCUCAGUUCGGAUUGAAGUCUGCAACUCGACUUCAUGAAGCUGGAAUCGCUAGUAAUCGCGUAUCAGCAAUGACGCGGUGAAUACGUUCCCGGACCUUGUACACACCGCCCGUCAAGCCAUGGGAGUUGGGUAUGCCUGAAGAUGGUUGCCGUGAGGCGCUGUUUAGGGCAGAAUCAGCGACUGGGGCUAAGUCGAAACAAGGUAGCCGUACCGGAAGGUGCGGCUGGAACACCUCCUU
Molecule: ribosomal RNA, 359 nt
Filed under: Durinskia baltica
Lineage: Eukaryota; Dinophyceae; Peridiniales; Kryptoperidiniaceae
Description: partial Bacterial small subunit ribosomal RNA
Rfam family: Bacterial small subunit ribosomal RNA
Source: RNAcentral